CACGCCGUAAACGAUGUCAACUAGCCGUUGGGAGCCUUGAGCUCUUAGUGGCGCAGCUAACGCAUUAAGUUGACCGCCUGGGGAGUACGGCCGCAAGGUUAAAACUCAAAUGAAUUGACGGGGGCCCGCACAAGCGGUGGAGCAUGUGGUUUAAUUCGAAGCAACGCGCAGAACCUUACCACCUUUUGACAUGCCUGGACCGCCAGAGAGAUCUGGCUUUCUCUUCGGAGACUAGGACACAGGUGC
This 246-nucleotide ribosomal RNA is filed under the name uncultured bacterium. RNAcentral's name for it is "partial 16S ribosomal RNA". It matches the Rfam family "Bacterial small subunit ribosomal RNA", at positions 796 to 1041 of the family's 1533-position model. The record is from RNAcentral.